RNAcentral lists this ribosomal RNA (302 nucleotides) under uncultured bacterium. RNAcentral describes it as "partial 16S ribosomal RNA". It matches the Rfam family "Bacterial small subunit ribosomal RNA", at positions 508 to 807 of the family's 1533-position model. The record is from RNAcentral.
GCAGUAGCCGCGGUAAUACAGAGGUCUCAAGCGUUGUUCGGAUUCAUUGGGCGUAAAGGGUGCGUAGGUGGCUUGGUAAGUUGAAGGUGAAAUCUCGGGGCUUAACUCCGAAACUGCCUUCAACACUGCUGAGCUCGAGGAUUGUAGAGGAGAAUGGAAUUCACGGUGUAGCAGUGAAACGCGUAGAUAUCGUGAGGAAGACCAGUGGCGAAGGCGAUUCUCUGGGCAAUUCCUGACACUGAGGCACGAAGGCCAGGGGAGCAAACGGGAUUAGAUACCCCCGUAGUCCCUGUCUCUUAUAC